Molecule: small nuclear RNA, 104 nt
Organism: Camelus dromedarius (Arabian camel)
Lineage: Eukaryota; Metazoa; Chordata; Mammalia; Artiodactyla; Camelidae
Source: Ensembl
GUGCUUGUUUUGGCAGCAUGUAUCUGAAAAUUGGAAUGAUACAGAAAUUAGCAUGGCCCCCAUGUAAGGAUGACAUGCAGAUUCAUGGGGCAUUCCAUAUUUUU